GUUCAUGUGAUGAAUUUGGCUGUUCAGCUGCUGGGUGACUCAGAAAUUAACUAAAUUAAAUUCUGAUUAAA
Small nucleolar RNA from Lonchura striata (white-rumped munia), 71 nucleotides. The record is from Ensembl. NCBI's taxonomy places the organism in Eukaryota, Metazoa, Chordata, Aves, Passeriformes, Estrildidae.